UUACACCCGACUUGAAGUGAGCUUUGUACUCAUGAAGUGCUAGUCAGACUGCUGUUCUUGUUUUCAAAGUCCUGUGGUAUUCUGGGUCCCUCAUAAUGUUGAAUGACCUUUUCAAUUUCUAAAAAGGAAUCAUCACCCGGGAUUCUGAUGGGUUUAAAUAUAAUUGGUAGAUUCUUUGGGAGUAUCACCACCUUAAUAACAUUAAACCUUUAGUCCAUGAGCAUAGAAUGGUAUUUAUUUGGAUGUUGAGCUACUUCCACCAAGCAUUACAUUUUAGAAAAUAAGUUUUAUAAUUUUCUAUUUGCUAUUUAUUAUGUAUGUAUUGUAUAUUAUUAUUAUAUUGUUUAUUUUUCUAUAUUUAUUUUUUAAGUGUCAUUGUAAAUGAACUUUUUAAAUUGCAUUUCAGAAUUUUAUGAGAAAAAAGUUGAUUUUUUGAUUAUUAAAGUUAAGAGUUUUGUUUAUUAAUUUUUUCACUCCUGACCUUGGGAACACAUCUUCCUCUUGGGUACUUCCAGGUUUUGAAAAUCAUGAGUGCUGGUGCGUUGAACUUUGUAGGGCAGGAUGUCAUGUGGACCUAUAUUGUGAACUCAUUUGGGUUUCCCCAACUUUGCGAAAUGGCUUGGGGUCCAGGAACCACCUCUCUGACACAUGAGAUAGGGUUGAUCACUUCAGCCUGUGACAGUUGAGUGGCUGUGGGCCUGUGAGGAGGUUUGUGUGAGGUCUCUGUGUAUUAGAGCCCUGGGACUUCUCAGGUAUCGAUCUCCCCCAUGUCGAAGGCUUUCCGGUAGGUUCAGCAGUCAAGAAACCCUGUCAGAUGUCCUUAUCCACUUGUAGUAGAGACUGUAGGGAGCAGGAAGCCAUAAAUACAAGGCAAAUGGGCACUGUGUCAGGUGGUCACUGUUGACAGGGUGAGAGGUGGUGAAGGGUGCAGAGGUGUCCCUCUCUCCUCCUGUCUUGGUGCCUGUGGCAGCUGUCUCAGCCCAUGUGUGGGUCUGAGUCUGUUACCUUUCCCACCUUUAUAUGGGUGGUGGAGUCCUUGGUUUUGCCUCAGUAUCUGGUGCUGUGUGAGUCGGCCCUGAGGUCUG
RNAcentral lists this long non-coding RNA (1085 nucleotides) under Marmota monax (woodchuck). The record is from RNAcentral. Lineage: Eukaryota; Metazoa; Chordata; Mammalia; Rodentia; Sciuridae.